This 484-nucleotide ribosomal RNA is filed under the name uncultured bacterium. RNAcentral's name for it is "partial 16S ribosomal RNA". It matches the Rfam family "Bacterial small subunit ribosomal RNA", at positions 30 to 507 of the family's 1533-position model. The record is from RNAcentral.
AUUGAACGCUGGCGGCAGGCCUAACACAUGCAAGUCGAGCGGAUGAAGGGAGCUUGCUCCUGGAUUCAGCGGCGGACGGGUGAGUAAUGCCUAGGAAUCUGCCUGGUAGUGGGGUAUAACGUCCGGAGACGGGCGCUAAUACUGCAUACGUCCUGAGGGAGAAAGUGGGGGAUCUUCGGACCGCACGCUAUCAGAUGAGCCUAGGUCGGAUUAGCUAGUUGGUGGGGUAAAGGCCUACCAAGGCGACGAUCCGUAACUGGUCUGAGAGGAUGAUCAGUCACACUGGAAGUGGGACAGGGUCCAGGCUCCUACGGGAGGCAGCAGUGGGGAAUAGUGGACAGUGGGCGAAAACCUGAUCCAGCCAUGCCGCGUGUGUGAAGGAGGUCUUCGGAUUGUAAAGCACUUUAAGUUGGGAGGAAGCGCAGUAAGUUAAUACCUUGCUGUAUUGACGUUAACAACAGAAGAAGCACCGGCUAACUUCGUG